Molecule: small nucleolar RNA, 51 nt
Filed under: Ictidomys tridecemlineatus (thirteen-lined ground squirrel)
Lineage: Eukaryota; Metazoa; Chordata; Mammalia; Rodentia; Sciuridae
Description: Spermophilus tridecemlineatus (thirteen-lined ground squirrel) Small nucleolar RNA SNORD109A
Rfam family: Small nucleolar RNA SNORD109A
About the family: Humans have two copies of the SNORD109 gene, SNORD109A and SNORD109B.
Source: Rfam by way of RNAcentral
GGAUCGAUGAAGAGAACAGUUGGCUGAGGAUGCUCAGGGUUCCCUUGGUCU